GAUCAAGCUACAAAGGGCGCACGGUGAAUGCCCUGCACUAGGAGCCGAUGAAGGACGUGAUAAGCUGCGAUAAGCUACAUGUAGGCGCACAUAGCCUGUGAUAUGUAGAUUUCCGAAUGGGGAACCCAUCUAGUUAUGCUAGAUACUGUAUACUGAAUACAUAGGUAUAUGGAGGUACACCUGGGGAACUGAAACAUCUAAGUACCCAGAGGAAGAGAAAGAAAAUUCGAUUCCCUAAGUAGCGGCGAGCGAAG
RNAcentral lists this ribosomal RNA (254 nucleotides) under Clostridium haemolyticum. RNAcentral describes it as "partial 23S ribosomal RNA". It matches the Rfam family "Bacterial large subunit ribosomal RNA", at positions 1 to 258 of the family's 2925-position model. Lineage: Bacteria; Bacillati; Bacillota; Clostridia; Eubacteriales; Clostridiaceae. The record is from RNAcentral.